ACCACUUAAUUGCCAGGCAGUGGUGGUGCACCCCUUUAAUCCCAGCAGGAGACUGGGAGGUAGAAGCUGAAGGAGCUCUACAUUUGAGGCCUAGACUCAAGCUCCAGGUCCGCUGGGGCUACAGAACAGGGAGGAGGGCGACAGGAAGAAAGGAAGGAGGGAGGGAGGGAAUUCAUUGAAUUGGCUAUGGUUUCAUAUGCUUAUCAUUCAUAAGGUUGCAGAAGGAGAGGCAGCUUACUAGUGCCAGCCACCACUGGCCCACAGGGCCUUGCCCACAUGACUCCCACCAGAGGCUCCAGGCUCUACACUCAGAGGCACCCUCGAAUCUAUCCUAACGAUCAUUUGGAAUGUGUCCUAUAUCCGGCAGCCAUUAGAAGUGUGGCCCUUGGGUGCAGGGCUACAACUGUAGGAGUUCUGCUAACCAUCUUUAAAGUCUUGGGCCUUGGGAUAUCCUUUUUCCAUUUGGUGAAGACAUAGGGACCGCAGGAGUGGUCCAGGGGUCCCAGUUGGGUAGUCUUCCCACCUAAUGCUUUUCCUUCUGAUCUGUUGCUUUCCUGUCCAUCCCACAAAUGAUCAAUCUUUCAAUUUCAGCAACACUGCCAAGGCCCUCUGUGCAUUCCUCCCUGGUCUUUCCCUUCCUCUUUUUCUCCAUCCAUCCUGCUCGUCAUACACUAACACCAUAUUCCAUUGCUUUAGCCUAGGCUGUGUAGUCAGAGUUGGCCUAUCUGGUUCGGAGAAGUCUCCUUCUGUUCCAUACCCACCUUGUCGGGUUACCACCCCUGGGGCAGACCCAGAUGGUCAUGCCUUUCUGACCUGUGCAUGUCAGCUCUUGCCCCUUCAUGAUCUAAGCACUUCACCCAACCUUCGAUGUAUAUAGGGAGGUUGGAGUCCUGGGUAACCAGGUGUCCACCUCGGCCAUACACCUAGUGUUCUUGGCGGGGACCACAGUGCAGGCGAGGACCACAGGGAGGCAGCAUAAGCUCGCAGGCCAGCCGCAGCCGCCCCCUCCCCAGCUUCCACUCCUUUCCCCCUAACUUGCUUUAAGCUCCACAGGAAGAACCGAGGUCAUCAGGUCCAGGCUGGGCAAGGCUCGUCCGGUACCCAGAGAGCCAGUUUUGCCCCGUCCCCACGCCCUGUCCCUGUCCCUCCUUGCCGAAGGGGAACCCUGCCUGCUCGCGGGGAGGUGACCGGAGAUCUCUGCUCCUGUUUGGUCAGGACCAGACUCUGCUUGGGUCUCAUCCAACCUCCUUGUCUUGGGGAUGGCGGCAGUGUCACUCGCAGCCCUGCACACGAGUACCGAGAGUACCCGAGCCACUAAGAGAAGCGUCUGGGGGGAGGGGGGAGGGCACAGGCAGGUCCUAAGUAGCUACGGGUCCCAGGCCGUGACCUCGAGCAGACGACAGCUGGUCUCUGCCCUCAUACCGAGCCGGGCAGUGGGUGCUCGGGCAGCCGGUGCGCCGGAGGGCGCCGCUCCCGGCCGCCUCGCCUGGCGGGCUCGCAGGAACUGCCCCGCUGGCUUUGAAUGUAAAGAUUCUGCCUUUGUGAGUGCUUGCCCGCCCCACCCGCCGCCGUCCUCAUUAGCAUAGCAGCUGCUCGCCGAGCGAGGACCGGCUCAGGAGAGGGCAGAGGCCUCCGGAAUGAAUGGGCCGCGGCUUUGGUGCGGGCGAAAGAAGAAAGACCGACAGACGGACGCGCAGGGGCUUCCCAGUGCUGCUUCUGGUGCCCAGUCCUUGUCCAGGUCCUCUCAGUGCCUCUUGGCUUGUGCAACAGGCACAUCUGCAGCUCUGGAAGGCCAGGACAGAGAGGGGACCUGGAUCAUCUAUAACUUCUUUUCACCGGCCCUAACCUGGACCAGUUUGGGAAGAGGAUGGAAAUUUACCAGAGACUCAUCAAGUCCAUACCACUCCUGCUCCACUGCAGCAGGUACUUUGUUGAGCUGUAAGGACCACUGGCCACUGCAUUCUAGGGAAAUGGGCACCAGAGAUAUAGCAACCUUGACCUGGUCACAUCUAGGGAGCAGAGACUUCUGUCUGUUCCCACUGCACAAGUGUGCUCUGUCAUGGGAGCCAUGCCAUAGAAGUAGAGCACUCUUCCUGGAAAACUUGGGUCCUGAACACGCUGCCCACAGUACCCUUUAAGGCAAGAUGGCUGGCUCUGUGCACUCGGUGGGACUGACUAACUGGCAUUCGCGCCAUAGUUCUGAGCCCACCAAAGGGAAGGACUAUGGUGAUGUAAGCGUUCAGCAUGUGUCUACGUACCUGCCUCCUAGAGUACUGCAUUGUGAAGAGGCUUGUGCGUUCACAACAGCCCAGACAGCAUGGGUUCCUCUACAGCUCCUUCCUCAGCCAUCUUUUUUUGUGUUUUUGUUUGUCUGAGACAGGGUUUCUCUGUGUAGCUCUGGCUGUCCUGGAACUCACUGUGUAGACCAGGCUGGCCUCGAACUCAGAGAUCUGCCUGCCUCUGCUUCCUCAGUGCUUGGAUUAAAGGUCUAUGCCACCACACAGGUUUGCCAUC
Long non-coding RNA from Mus musculus (house mouse), 2514 nucleotides. RefSeq annotates it as predicted gene, 52547. The transcript is spliced from 2 exons. Lineage: Eukaryota; Metazoa; Chordata; Mammalia; Rodentia; Muridae. The record is from RefSeq and is a predicted model, not a curated record.